AAUUAGAGUUUGAUCUUGGCUCAGGAUGAACGCUGGCGACGUGGAUAAGGCAUGCAAGUCGAGUGGGUUAGACCCACGGCAGACGAGGUAGUAAGACAUAGGAACUUCCCCUCUUGUCGGGCAUAACUAGCCGAAAGGUUAGAUAAUUCCCGAUAGUCCCUGAGAGUAAUCGAAAGGUAAAGAUCCGCCAAUUGGCGGAAUCGCAAGAGGAAAGGCCUGUGGAGUAUCAGCUAGUUGGUAGUGUAAUGGACUACCAAGGCUAUGACGCUUAGGGGAGGUGAGAGCCUGACCCCCACCGAUGGUACUGAGAUACGGACCAUACACCUACGGGUGGCCGCAGUCGAGAAUCUUCCACAAUGGACGCAAGUCUGAUGGAGCGACGUCGCGUGAUGGAUGAAGUCUUUCGGGAUGUAAACAUCUUUUAUCGGGGAUGAAUCUAGUUUAUCUAGAAUGACGGUACCCGAUGAAUAAGGGGUUGCUAAACUCGUGCCAGCAGCAGCGGUAAUACGAGUGCCCCAAGCGUUAUCCGGAAUUAUUGGGCGUAAAGGGUGUGUAGGCGGUUGUGAGUAGUCUUUCGUUAAAACCCCCGGCCUAACCGGGGAGGUGCGAGAGAAACGGCGCAACUGAGGGAGUGUGAGAGGUCUGUGGAACUCAUGGUGUAGGGGUGAAAUCCGUUGAUAUCAUGGGGAACACCAAAAGCGAAGGCAACAGACUGGCACAUAUCCGACGCUGAAACACGAAAGCGUGGGUAGCGAACGGGAUUAGAUACCCCGGUAGUCCACGCCCUAAACGAUCUUCACUAGCUUUUCGGAGUAUCGACCCUCUGAGAGGCGAAGCUAACGCGUUAAGUGAAGCGCCUGGGAAGUACGGCCGCAAGGCUAAAACUCAAAAGAAUAGACGGGGACUUGCACAAGCGGUGGAUCAUGUGGUUUAAUUCGACGCUAAACGAAGAACCUCACCAGGGUUUGAAAUCCAGACGAAUGCCCGCCGAAAGGUGGGAGGUCUCACAAGGACGGCUGGACAGGUGAUGCAUGGCUGUCGUCAGUUCGUGGCUUGAGUUGUUCCCUUAAGUGGGGAAACGAACGCAACCUCUGUUGUCUGUUACAAGUGUCAGGCAAGACUGCCUCGCUCUGCGGGGAGGAAGCGGAGAUGACGCCAAGUCAGCAUGUCCCUCUGACAUCCUGGGCUACACACAUGAUACAAUGGCCGUUACAAUAGGUCGCGACGGGGAGACCCUGAGCUAAUCCUAAAAGACGGCCCCAGUUCGGAUUGAGGUCUGCAACUCGACCUCAUGAAGUCGGAAUCGCUAGUAAUCGCAGGUCAGCUAUACUGCGGUGAAUACGUUCUCAAGUCUUGUACUCAC
RNAcentral lists this ribosomal RNA (1363 nucleotides) under Candidatus Vogelbacteria bacterium. RNAcentral describes it as "bacterial SSU rRNA". It matches the Rfam family "Bacterial small subunit ribosomal RNA". Lineage: Bacteria; Candidatus Vogeliibacteriota. The record is from RNAcentral.